RNAcentral lists this ribosomal RNA (1706 nucleotides) under metagenome. Its description in RNAcentral is "bacterial LSU rRNA". It matches the Rfam family "Bacterial large subunit ribosomal RNA", at positions 220 to 2011 of the family's 2925-position model. The record is from RNAcentral.
AGAAAGCGAAUGCGAUUCCGUAAGUAGUGGCGAGCGAAAGCGGAACAGACCAAACCAGAUCAGCUUGCUGAUCCGGGGUUCGGNNCANNAUAUACGGGAGAACCAAUCCAAANAUAANAACACGNUGGAAAGCGUGGCCAAAGAAGGUGAUAGCCCUGUAUACGGCGGAGCGGUAAUCCUAGUGUUUCCAGAGUAGCACGGGAUAAGUGGAACCCUGUGUGAACACGCGCCAACCAUGGCGUAAGUCUAAAUACUACCUAGCAACCGAUAGUGAACUAGUACCGUGAGGGAAAGGCGAAAAGCACCCCGGGAGGGGAGUGAAAAGUACCUGAAACCACGUGCCUACAAGGUGUCGGAGCCAUCUUCGGAUGGUGACGGCGUGCCUUUUGCAUAAUGAGUCUGCGAGUUAUUGUUCGUGGCAAGCCUAAGGGCUUUUGGUCCGGAGGCGAAGCGAAAGCGAGUGUGACAAGCGCGNNNUAGUCGCGAGCAAUAGACCCGAAGCGGAGGUGAUCUAGCCAUGGCCAGGUUGAAGCUUAGGUAACACUAAGUGGAGGACCGAACCGGUGUACGUUGAAAAGUGCUCGGAUGAGCUGUGGCUGGGAGUGAAAGGCUAAUCAAACCCCGUGAUAGCUGGUUCUCUCCGAAAUAGCUUUAGGGCUAGCGUCAGGCAAGGAUUCGAGGGGUAGAGCACUGAAUGGCUUAGGGCCCAUACCCGGGUACCAAAACCAAUUAAACUCCGAAUACUCGAACUCCNUACUGGCAGUCAGACUAUGGGUGAUAACAUUCAUGGUCGAAAGGGAAACAACCCAGAUCGCCGGCUAAGGUGCCCAAACUGGAUUAAGUGGAAAGGAUGUGGAAUUGCAUAGACAGUGAGGAUGUUGGCUUAGAAGCAGCCACCAUUUAAACAUAGCGUAACAGCUGACUCAUCGAGCGAUUCUGCGCCGAAAAUGAUUGGCGAUUAAAUCCAGUACCGAAGCCGCGGACGUGUUUUACACGUGGUAGGAGAGCGUCGUCUAUGCGCUGAAGCUGAACUGUAAGGGACAGUGGAGCGUAGACGAGUGAGGAUGCAGACAUGAGUAGCGAUAAAACAGGUGAGAAUCCUGUUCGCCGUAAACCCAAGGUUUCCCAUAGCCACGCUCGUCGGCUUGGGGUUAGUCGGGUCCUAAGGUGAGGCCGUAAGGCGUAAUCGAUGGACAGCAGGUUAAUAUUCCUGCACCGGCAGUGUAUUUAGUGUGUGAGUGCGCGGAGAAGGAAGAUGCAUACAUAACGUUAUGGAAGAGGCUUAGUCCACGAGGCGAAGCCCGCAUUGGAAAUCUCUGCCUAGAAAAGCUCAUACACAUUCUAUGCCUGUCGCCCGUACCGUAAACCGCCACAGGUAGGAGGGUGUAAAUGUACCAAGGCGCGCGAGAGAAACCUCUUUAAGGAACUCUGCAAAUUAGCCCCGUAACUUCGGAAGAAGGGGUGCCAUCUUCGGAUGGCCACAGUAAAGGGUGACUGGCGACUGUUUACCAAAAACACAGCUCUCUGCUAAGAUGUUAAGUCUACGUAUAGGGAGUGACACGUGACCAAUGCCGAAAGAUCAAGGCUGUUCUGUUAACGCAGGGCACCCAAGUCCCGGUGAAUGUCGGCCGUAACUAUAACGGUCCUAAGGUAGCGAAAUUCCUUGUCGGGUAAGUUCCGACCUGCACGAAUCGUGUAACGACCGG